AUGGAUUGUCAUUGGGGUCUGAAUGAGAUUUUAUAUUCUAUAGAGAAGGAAGGUGGAGCAAUGGGACCACUGAAAUAUAUGCAAGCUUUCAGGGAUUAUUGGACGGAUUGUCAACUGGAUGAUCUGGGGUACAUUGGUAACAUGUUUACAUGGCACAGAGGUGGCAUUCGAGAACAUUUGGCUAUGGCUCUUGGAAAUUCAGUGUGGAUAUCUAUGUUCCCAGAUGCAGGUCUACGUAAUCUCACUAUGGCUAGUUCUGAUCAUCAGCCUAUAAUGAUGGACACGUUAACCUACUCGACUAUACAGAGUGGUAGGGGCCGUAAGAGAUUCGAGGGAAAUUGGUUCAAGGAAGAAAUGUUUCGAGAGGUGGUGCAGGCGGCAUGGGAUCAUGCCCCGCCGGCUGCUCCAGUGAUGCCUAAGCUUGCGGAGCUUCACAGUGAGCUACACGAAUGGGGUAGAGAAGUGUUGAAAGCACCACUAAAAAAAGUAAAGGACCUGACUAGGGAGCUAGACCGAGUGUUGGCAGGCCCGAUGGGUGCUGACUCUGUUCAGUGA
This 555-nucleotide ribosomal RNA is filed under the name Triticum aestivum (bread wheat). Its description in RNAcentral is "partial small subunit ribosomal RNA". Lineage: Eukaryota; Viridiplantae; Streptophyta; Magnoliopsida; Poales; Poaceae. The record is from RNAcentral.